CUUUCCAACAUCCAUGCAACCUCCUCCGGAUUCCUUUCACGGACAUCUCCCAGCAAAUCAGCUCAUCUUCCCUUCUCCGAACAUCCAAGCUCAUGAAUUCAUUUCCUCUUCCCGUUCGGAAUUGGUUCCAUCUCCACGGGAUAAGAUCAAAUCCCUGCUCUCUGAUCCAUCCACUUUCAUCCCAUUGUAAUCUAUCAUCCCCUGCUUCAGCAGCCACGAUAGAUUCAAAUCUUCAUCCGCAUGAAGUCAGCUUUCCAUCUGUUAGAAGUAUGCCCUAGAAGCCAAUUUGGCUGACGCAUUAUUUUAUUCUGGGACAUAAAUUUGUACAUGAC
RNAcentral lists this long non-coding RNA (332 nucleotides) under Phoenix dactylifera (date palm). RNAcentral describes it as "long non-coding RNA (PDAC_LNC013672)". The record is from RNAcentral. Lineage: Eukaryota; Viridiplantae; Streptophyta; Magnoliopsida; Arecales; Arecaceae.